This 253-nucleotide ribosomal RNA is filed under the name uncultured bacterium. RNAcentral describes it as "partial 16S ribosomal RNA". It matches the Rfam family "Bacterial small subunit ribosomal RNA", at positions 524 to 776 of the family's 1533-position model. The record is from RNAcentral.
UACGUAGGGGGCAAGCGUUGUUCGGAAUUACUGGGCGUAAAGGGCGCGUAGGCGGCACAGCAAGUCGGGCGUGAAAGCCCGGGGCUCAACCCCGGAACGGCUUUCGAAACUGCUGAGCUAGAGUACAGAAGGGGCAACCGGAAUUCCCAGUGUAGCGGUGAAAUGCGUAGAUAUUGGGAAGAACACCUGAGGCGAAGGCGGCUUGCUGGACCUGGUCUGACGCUGAGGCGCGAAAGCGUGGGGAGCGAACAGG